UCGGCGGCGCUCUGUCCUCUCCCGGGGCAGACUCUGUGCGCCUGGGAGCUCUUUCGCCUUCCUCUUCGUGGGUUCAUAGGGCCUUUCAGGGAGAGAGAAUUUGCGCCGUUCGAGUCAUCUUGACUCCGUCCCAGGAGUCCUCCCGCUUCUAGGACUUGGCGAUUCCUGAGAGUUCCGGUGAGCUCUGGAGCAGAGUUGGUUCUAGAAGGGCCGCUUCCUUUCCUUUUUAAAAUUUUCUUUCCUUUUCUUAUGCAAAUGAAUAUUUCAUUUGAGAA
Molecule: long non-coding RNA, 275 nt
Organism: Galeopterus variegatus (Sunda flying lemur)
Lineage: Eukaryota; Metazoa; Chordata; Mammalia; Dermoptera; Cynocephalidae
Exons: 2
Source: RefSeq, a predicted model, not a curated record